Molecule: ribosomal RNA, 267 nt
Filed under: uncultured bacterium
Lineage: Bacteria
Description: partial 16S ribosomal RNA
Rfam family: Bacterial small subunit ribosomal RNA
Source: RNAcentral
UUGGCGACCGGCGCACGGGUGCGUAACGCGUAUGUAACCUACCUAUAACAGGGGCAUAACACUGAGAAAUUGGUACUAAUUCCCCAUAAUAUUCGGAGAGGCAUCUCUCCGGGUUGAAAACUCCGGUGGUUAUAGAUGGACAUGCGUUGUAUUAGCUAGUUGGUGAGGUAACGGCUCACCAAGGCAACGAUACAUAGGGGGACUGAGAGGUUAACCCCCCACACUGGUACUGAGACACGGACCAGACUCCUACGGGAGGCAGCAAUG